AUAUAGUGCAGAGCAAAGCAGCGUUUGAACUGAUGGCAGCACUAAUGACUCUCGGUGAAACAGUGAAAAGAUAAAUGAUCCUUAAUCAGGAAAAUGUUUAAAUAAGCAAGUGCCUGGAUAUACCACAGCAAAACAACCUGAAUUCAUUUAAGUAAAUGAAGAAGAAAAAAAGAAGCAGUAAACUGCCCCUUCUACCAAUGUCUAAGAUGAACGGGAAAAAUGCAUAUAAAUGGAAUUUUUCUUUUACGAUUGCAAUAAGGUUCUUUGCAGUUGAAGCACUGAAAUGACAGCUGUUUAUCAUUAUCCUCAUCAAGGAAAUGUAAAAUAAAAAUAGUAAUUUGUCUCUGAUCUUUGAGGCAAAAAAGAAUGGUCUGCAAACAUUUAACCUUUUAUGUGCAGGUUCAAUGAUGCUGUUUAAAAAACGUGAAUAAUAUUGUAGAAACCAGCUUGUUUCUAAAAAAUACAAUAGACAGUCCUUCCUAUUGCAGUUUUUAAAAAUAGCUAUUGAGAAAUCUAAUUUAACCAAUAAAAACACCAGCAUUGUAAA
This 547-nucleotide long non-coding RNA is filed under the name Homo sapiens (human). RNAcentral describes it as "non-protein coding lnc-PIGC-2:5". Lineage: Eukaryota; Metazoa; Chordata; Mammalia; Primates; Hominidae. The record is from RNAcentral.